Molecule: ribosomal RNA, 496 nt
Filed under: uncultured bacterium
Lineage: Bacteria
Description: partial 16S ribosomal RNA
Rfam family: Bacterial small subunit ribosomal RNA
Source: RNAcentral
GAUGAACGCUGGCGGCGUGCCUAAUACAUGCAAGUCGAGCGAACGGACGAGAAGCUUGCUUUUCUGAUGUUAGCGGCGGACGGGUGAGUAACACGUGGAUAACCUACCUAUAGGACUGGGAUAACUUCGGGAAACCGGAGCUAAUACCGGAUAAUAUUUUGAACCGCAUGGUUCAAAAGUGAAAGACGGUCUUGCUGUCACUUAUAGAUGGAUCCGCGCUGCAUUAGCUAGUUGGUAAGGUAACGGCUUACCAAGGCAACGAUGCAUAGCCGACCUGAGAGGGUGAUCGGCCACACUGGAACUGAGACACGGUCCAGACUCCUACGGGAGGCAGCAGUAGGGAAUCUUCCGCAAUGGGCGAAAGCCUGACGGAGCAACGCCGCGUGAGUGAUGAAGGUCUUCGGAUCGUAAAACUCUGUUAUUAGGGAAGAACAUAUGUGUAAGUAACUGUGCACAUCUUGACGGUACCUAAGCAGAAAGCCACGGCUAACUACGU